CAUGUGUGUUUACGUGUGUGUGCAUGUGCAUGUGUGUAUAUGAAUAUACAUACACAUACACAUACACACACAUAAACACACAUGCAACACGCACAUAU
RNAcentral lists this microRNA precursor (98 nucleotides) under Mus spretus (western wild mouse). RNAcentral's name for it is "microRNA 466f-1 (ENSMSPG00010030046.1)". The record is from RNAcentral. Lineage: Eukaryota; Metazoa; Chordata; Mammalia; Rodentia; Muridae.